GCGACCCCAGGUCAAGCGGGGCUACCCGCUGAGUUUAA
RNAcentral lists this ribosomal RNA (38 nucleotides) under Corymbia abergiana. RNAcentral describes it as "partial 26S ribosomal RNA". Lineage: Eukaryota; Viridiplantae; Streptophyta; Magnoliopsida; Myrtales; Myrtaceae. RNAcentral also lists the same sequence under 29 other names. The record is from RNAcentral.